Long non-coding RNA from Amblyraja radiata (thorny skate), 200 nucleotides. RefSeq lists it as uncharacterized. The record is from RefSeq and is a predicted model, not a curated record. The transcript is spliced from 2 exons. NCBI's taxonomy places the organism in Eukaryota, Metazoa, Chordata, Chondrichthyes, Rajiformes, Rajidae.
GGUCUGGUUCCUUCCAGAACAUAUGGGGUGUAAGUUCUACACAAAUUGGGGGUAGGUUACACUUAUUUUGGGAUGCAUGGAGUUCUAUAACUUCUGACCCUUAUAUACAGCAUAGUAUUCAGGGAUACGAAAUUGAAUUUAUUCAUAAAAACCUUCCUCCGGUUCAGCAUGCACCUAGCCGAAUGUUUGUGCUUUCACAA